UUUACGUUAAGCAGCUACUGAAGCACUCAUGUUUGAAAAAUAACUAUUUUCUGCUGUAGCAUCUUUGAAUAAUGGAUUUUCUUCAGCUGCGUGAAGCUGACACCCCACCCACUUGAAAAAUUCCAGCAAAUAGACAGAAUGGUCAUCCAGAGGUCACCAUCCCCCCAUUUUACUCCGAAUUGAACCGGAGUGGGCUCAUUUUUUAGUGCUUCGUUUGUGCAGGCGAUCAAUGACGACUUAAAUCGAUGACGUCUAUGGCCUGCGCUGAACAUCAUCACCACCAUGAGGUGGGCACAUGACCAAUAUAUUCAUAGUUGGACAGUAUUUCCCAUCCCAUACAUGAAGCUAGUAAAGACAUGGAGAGGUACUUUAGCCUAAGUGAAGCUUUACCUUAAGUGGACAAAAGUACUUUUUUGCAGAUCAGAGCUGCUGUUAGACUUUAUAGACUAACCAUCACUGCUUCCAACAAACAAUAGGUUUUCUACUUUCAUGCCAAUAUUGAAGUUUUUAUCUGAUCAAGUUUUUAUCUGAUCAAGUUUUUAUCUGAUCAAGUGUUUACAUAAAUGCUGUCACCACUGUCACCUGAUUGUUCUGCACGCCUAAUUUAAUAUAUAUAACCUAUACCUUACUGAUAACUGCACAGUAUUGUAUUUUUCCUCUCUUUUAUUGUAAAUCCCUUUCAGCCUUUUUGUGAUUGUUUUUUGCACUUUGUUUCUUAUAGCUUUUAGUUUGGGUAAGUUUUCUACUUUUUUAGAUAAAUAUGAACCUGUGUACUUUCAUUGCCUUAUGGUUUGGUGCUGACACACUCAAAUGUUCCUAUUGUGGAACAAUAAAGGUUUUCUAUUCUAAUUAAUUGAGAGAGGUAACCAUGACUUCUGAGAUCACGCAUAACCAAGUUACUGUUUGAAAAUGUAAUCUACAUUAUACUUUCAAAGAAGAAUAAACACUUCUGAUUUGGAAAAUUAACUUUAUGUUAUAAAUCACCACAGGCAACAUAUGGCAUACUUAACCAUCUAAGAACUUGUAACAAAGAACAUUAAAAUAGAACCUAUUUCUGGUCAGGAAUAUCAAACCAUGGCAAAAUGUAUUUGCCUUUUGAUCUGGGCUUCUCAGAAAUUUUCCCCCAAAAUGUGUUGAUUCACAGCAUUCAGUCUGCUGUGUAUAACACUGCAUGUGGUUGUAUUGUCUUCUUUUCAGACACAGUCUUCACUAUAUUUGCCAGGUCAUCAUAAAGCUCCCACACACAUGGAGCUCUUCGGCAGUAUGCAAUGUAAUGUCCCAGACCAUCUUUAGUCAAGCUUCCCUUGAAAGCGAUGACUCCUCUCAAAGAGAAUGUCUUUCCUUGGAGAGCAACAGUGGGGGGAAAUUCACUCAAAGGAAACUGAGUUGUGUUUGCAAGUGGGCGAAGGCAGGGAGACUCCGGAAGGAAGAGUCCAUUUUCCACUGAAAUGUCAAGCUGAGCCAUGCCACAGUCCAUCAGCACAGAAAUGUCAGGAGAAACAAAUGUGGCUGAGCUUGCUGUGAGGUUGGUGCUUUUGAAGAGGGGGACCAUUACUCCUGUCCAAAGUGCCGCGUAGGUCAGUCUGGAUCUCGUCAAAAGAAUCCACUUGAUGCAUUUCAUUUGGAUCUACAGCUGGAAUGAUGAUGGAGUCUUCUGUGAUCUGGGUUUGUAGAUAUUUUUUGCACAUCUCUGAUUCGAGAGGGACUCCAGAACUAUCAUCAC
Long non-coding RNA from Girardinichthys multiradiatus, 1723 nucleotides. RefSeq lists it as uncharacterized. The record is from RefSeq and is a predicted model, not a curated record. NCBI's taxonomy places the organism in Eukaryota, Metazoa, Chordata, Actinopteri, Cyprinodontiformes, Goodeidae. The transcript has 6 exons.